AUGGAGCCGACCUUGAAAUACCACCCUUUAAUGUUUGAUGUUCUAACGUGGACCCGUGAUCCGGGUUGCGGACAGUGUCUGGUGGGUAGUUUGACUGGGGCGGUCUCCUCCUAAAGAGUAACGGAGGAGCACGAAGGUUGGCUAAUCCUGGUCGGACAUCAGGAGGUUAGUGCAAUGGCAUAAGCCAGCUUGACUGCGAGCGUGACGGCGCGAGCAGGUGCGAAAGCAGGUCAUAGUGAUCCGGUGGUUCUGAAUGGAAGGGCCAUCGCUCAACGGAUAAAAGGUACUCCGGGGAUAACAGGCUGAUACCGCCCAAGAGUUCAUAUCGACGGCGGUGUUUGGCACCUCGAUGUCGGCUCAUCACAUCCUGGGGCUGAAGUAGGUCCCAAGGGUAUGGCUGUUCGCCAUUUAAAGUGGUACGCGAGCUGGGUUUAGAACGUCGUGAGACAGUUCGGUCCCUAUCUGCCGUGGGCGCUGGAGAACUGAGGGGGGCUGCUCCUAGUACGAGAGGACCGGAGUGGACGCAUCACUGGUGUUCGGGUUGUCAUGCCAAUGGCACUGCCCGGUAGCUAAAUGCGGAAGAGAUAAGUGCUGAAAGCAUCUAAGCACGAAACUUGC
This 618-nucleotide ribosomal RNA is filed under the name Escherichia coli. RNAcentral describes it as "partial 23S ribosomal RNA". It matches the Rfam family "Bacterial large subunit ribosomal RNA", at positions 2180 to 2797 of the family's 2925-position model. Lineage: Bacteria; Pseudomonadati; Pseudomonadota; Gammaproteobacteria; Enterobacterales; Enterobacteriaceae. The record is from RNAcentral.